UCGACUUGGAGGUUGUUCCCUUGAGGAGUGGCUUCCGGAGCUAACGCGUUAAGUCGACCGCCUGGGGAGUACGGCCGCAAGGUUAAAACUCAAAUGAAUUGACGGGGGCCCGCACAAGCGGUGGAGCAUGUGGUUUAAUUCGAUGCAACGCGAAGAACCUUACCUACUCUUGACAUCCAGCGAACUUUCCAGAGAUGGAUUGGUGCCUUCGGGAACGCUGAGACAGGUGCUGCAUGGCUGUCGUCAGCUCGUGUUGUGAAAUGUUGGGUUAAGUCCCGCAACGAGCGCAACCCUUAUCCUUUGUUGCCAGCGAUUCGGUCGGGAACUCAAAGGAGACUGCCGGUGAUAAACCGGAGGAAGGUGGGGAUGACGUCAAGUCAUCAUGGCCCUUACGAGUAGGGCUACACACGUGCUACAAUGGCGCAUACAAAGAGAAGCGACCUCGCGAGAGCAAGCGGACCUCACAAAGUGCGUCGUAGUCCGGAUCGGAGUCUGCAACUCGACUCCGUGAAGUCGGAAUCGCUAGUAAUCGUGGAUCAGAAUGCCACGGUGAAUACGUUCCCGGGCCUUGCACUCCCCGCCCGUCA
This 587-nucleotide ribosomal RNA is filed under the name Enterobacterales bacterium. Its description in RNAcentral is "bacterial SSU rRNA". It matches the Rfam family "Bacterial small subunit ribosomal RNA", at positions 812 to 1399 of the family's 1533-position model. The record is from RNAcentral. Lineage: Bacteria; Pseudomonadati; Pseudomonadota; Gammaproteobacteria; Enterobacterales.